This is a non-coding RNA of Lonchura striata (white-rumped munia), 276 nucleotides long. Lineage: Eukaryota; Metazoa; Chordata; Aves; Passeriformes; Estrildidae. The record is from RefSeq and is a predicted model, not a curated record.
CUUUCAUAUUUUCUUUUUAAUUUAAGGAGCUCAAGUGACUCCACUGAAACUCUGGCAUUUAUCACAGACAAAAUUAGGUCAGAAGAGUGCACAGAGGUACUGAACUGAAAAGAGAUAAAUUCAUCUUUGGAAGAAAAAAGGAAGUCUCAAACUCCAAAGUUGGGUUUAAUUUGUCUCCUCCACAUAAGGGGUGUUGGAACAAGAUGAGCUUUCAAGUCCCUUCCCACCCAAACUAUGAAAUCAGACAGAACAAGAUUUGCCCAUGCUGUACCCAGG